Molecule: ribosomal RNA, 203 nt
Filed under: uncultured bacterium
Lineage: Bacteria
Description: partial 16S ribosomal RNA
Rfam family: Bacterial small subunit ribosomal RNA
Source: RNAcentral
ACGCUCGACACCUACGUGAGGCAGCAGUGGGGAAUAUUGCACAAUGGGGGAAACCCUGAUGCAGCGACGCCGCGUGGAGGAAGAAGGUCUUCGGAUUGUAAACUCCUGUUGUUGGGGAAAAAGAGGAUGGUACCCAACAAGGAAGUGACGGCUAACUACGUGCUAGCACGCCGGACGGUAAUCUGAGGCGGGCUGGACAAGGC